RNAcentral lists this ribosomal RNA (253 nucleotides) under uncultured Eubacteriales bacterium. Its description in RNAcentral is "uncultured Clostridiales bacterium partial 16S ribosomal RNA". It matches the Rfam family "Bacterial small subunit ribosomal RNA", at positions 524 to 776 of the family's 1533-position model. Lineage: Bacteria; Bacillati; Bacillota; Clostridia; Eubacteriales. The record is from RNAcentral.
UACGUAGGUGGCAAGCGUUGUCCGGAAUGACUGGGCGUAAAGGGAGCGUAGGCGGCGCAGUAAGUUAGGAGUGAAAUCCCGGGGCUCAACCCCGGAACUGCUUUUAAAACUGCUGUGCUUGAGUGAUGGAGAGGAAAGCGGAAUUCCUAGUGUAGCGGUGGAAUGCGUAGAUAUUAGGAGGAACACCGGUGGCGAAGGCGAAUUGCUGGACUGUAACUGACACUGAGGCACGAAAGCGUGGGGAGCAAACAGG